GAGGGUGUAGCUCAGUGGUAGAGCAUGUGCUUAGCAUGCACAAGGUCUUGGGUUCAAUCCCCAGUACCUCCA
This 72-nucleotide transfer RNA is filed under the name Camelus bactrianus (Bactrian camel). It matches the Rfam family "tRNA". From Rfam's summary of the family: Transfer RNA (tRNA) molecules are approximately 80 nucleotides in length. RNAcentral also lists the same sequence under 2 other names. Lineage: Eukaryota; Metazoa; Chordata; Mammalia; Artiodactyla; Camelidae. The record is from Rfam by way of RNAcentral.